UCACUGAUCUCCCCCUACCCUCGCUGAAGGCCCUGCUCCCACGCCGGCUUCCUAGGGGUAGAGGUUUUUGGUGAAGCAGCGGAAAAUAGAGUCAAGAAUUCGAAUGUGAAUUCAUAAUUGAAAUUGCAAAUGAAGGAAAUUGUUGAUGAAGGAAAUCAGAAAAUCAAAAAUUGCAAAUCCGAAAUUCUUGAGUCCAGCCACCUUCUAGGGCUUUGUUCUGAAAUUUCAAACGAAAUUGCAAAUCGAAAAUUGCAAAUCGAAUAUCGCAGGACUCAUUUCUAGGGCACUGUUCAGAAAGGACUUGUGUGCAAAUCGAAGAAGACGAAGCUCUGGAUACCGUCUGUAGGGGGAAGAAGACAAAGCUCUCCGGUGGCGCCAUUGUUGGGUUGCUUCUCUUGUUGUUGCUACUGCUUGUCUUGUGUAGGAAGCAGAGUGGGAAGAAGGUGAGCUCAGUCGAUGUCGCAGCGGGGUUGGAGAAGACGCAGCGGUGCAAGAGGUUGGAGAAGACACCGUCGCCGCCGCCGGUGGCUGGAGAAGAUGCAGGGGCGCGCAGGGGGGUGGUUAGGGAGGGGGAGGGUCUGCGACUCUGCGCAAUGGGUGGGGAGGGG
This 608-nucleotide long non-coding RNA is filed under the name Salvia miltiorrhiza (redroot sage). Its description in RNAcentral is "long non-coding RNA (SMIL_LNC013059)". The record is from RNAcentral. Lineage: Eukaryota; Viridiplantae; Streptophyta; Magnoliopsida; Lamiales; Lamiaceae.